Non-coding RNA from Pantherophis guttatus, 73 nucleotides. Lineage: Eukaryota; Metazoa; Chordata; Lepidosauria; Squamata; Colubridae. The record is from the annotation of a RefSeq genome assembly.
GGUUCCAUAGUGUAGUGGUUAUCACGUCUGCUUUACAUGCAGAAGAUCCUGGGUUCGAGUCCCAAUGGGACCA